CCUACGGGAGGCAGCAGUAGGGAAUAUUGCUCAAUGGGGGAAACCCUGAAGCAGCCACGCCGCGUGGAGGAUGAAGGUUUUCGGAUUGUAAAAUCCUUUUGUUAGAGAAGAUAAUGACGGUAUCUAACGAAUAAGCAACGGCUAACUCCGUGCCAGCAGCCGCGGUAAUACGUAGGGUGCAAGCGUUACUCGGAAUCACUGGGCGUAAAGAGCGCGUAGGCGGGAUAGCAAGUCAGAUGUGAAAUCCUAGGGCUUAACCAUAGAACUGCAUUUGAAACUGUUAUUCUAGAGUAUGGGAGAGGGAGGUGGAAUUCGUGGUGUAGGGGUAAAAUACGUAGAGAUCAAGAGGAAUACUGAUUGCGAAGGCGACCUGCUAGAACAUAACUGACGCUGAUGCGCGAAAGCGUGGGGAGCAAACAGGAUUAGAUACCCGUGUAGUC
RNAcentral lists this ribosomal RNA (440 nucleotides) under uncultured bacterium. Its description in RNAcentral is "partial 16S ribosomal RNA". It matches the Rfam family "Bacterial small subunit ribosomal RNA", at positions 338 to 795 of the family's 1533-position model. The record is from RNAcentral.